GUGCCAGCAGCCGCGGUAAUACGGAGGGUGCAAACGUUGCUCGGAAUCAUUGGGCGUAAAGCGCACGUAGGUGGCCUGUUAAGUCGGGUGUGAAAUCCCUGGGCUCAACCCAGGAAGUGCACUCGAAACUGGCGGGCUUGAGUACUGAAGAGGGUCGCGGAAUUCCCGGUGUAGAGGUGAAAUUCGUAGAUAUCGGGAGGAACACCAGUGGCGAAGGCGGCGACCUGGGCAGAUACUGACACUGAGGUGCGAAAGCGUGGGGAGCAAACAGGAUUAGAAACCCGCGUAGUCC
Molecule: ribosomal RNA, 292 nt
Filed under: uncultured bacterium
Lineage: Bacteria
Description: partial 16S ribosomal RNA
Rfam family: Bacterial small subunit ribosomal RNA
Source: RNAcentral